Molecule: ribosomal RNA, 253 nt
Filed under: uncultured bacterium
Lineage: Bacteria
Description: partial 16S ribosomal RNA
Rfam family: Bacterial small subunit ribosomal RNA
Source: RNAcentral
UACGUAGGGGGCAAGCGUUGUCCGGAAUCAUUGGGCGUAAAGCUCGUGUAGGCGGCUCGUUAAGUCCGCUCUGAAAGUCCGGGGCUCAACCCCGGGAGGCGGGUGGAUACUGUCGAGCUCGAGUCCGGAAGAGGCGAGUGGAAUUCCUGGUGUAGCGGUGAAAUGCGCAGAUAUCAGGAGGAACACCGAUGGCGAAGGCAGCUCGCUGGGACGUGACUGACGCUGAGACGCGAAAGCGUGGGGAGCAAACAGG